Molecule: ribosomal RNA, 947 nt
Filed under: Bacillus sp. YU-SS-SB-24
Lineage: Bacteria; Bacillati; Bacillota; Bacilli; Caryophanales; Bacillaceae
Description: bacterial SSU rRNA
Rfam family: Bacterial small subunit ribosomal RNA
Source: RNAcentral
GAGCACGCCGCGUGAGUGAUGAAGGUUUUCGGAUCGUAAAGCUCUGUUGUUAGGGAAGAACAAGUACCGUUCGAAUAGGGCGGUACCUUGACGGUACCUAACCAGAAAGCCACGGCUAACUACGUGCCAGCAGCCGCGGUAAUACGUAGGUGGCAAGCGUUGUCCGGAAUUAUUGGGCGUAAAGGGCUCGCAGGCGGUUUCUUAAGUCUGAUGUGAAAGCCCCCGGCUCAACCGGGGAGGGUCAUUGGAAACUGGGGAACUUGAGUGCAGAAGAGGAGAGUGGAAUUCCACGUGUAGCGGUGAAAUGCGUAGAGAUGUGGAGGAACACCAGUGGCGAAGGCGACUCUCUGGUCUGUAACUGACGCUGAGGAGCGAAAGCGUGGGGAGCGAACAGGAUUAGAUACCCUGGUAGUCCACGCCGUAAACGAUGAGUGCUAAGUGUUAGGGGGUUUCCGCCCCUUAGUGCUGCAGCUAACGCAUUAAGCACUCCGCCUGGGGAGUACGGUCGCAAGACUGAAACUCAAAGGAAUUGACGGGGGCCCGCACAAGCGGUGGAGCAUGUGGUUUAAUUCGAAGCAACGCGAAGAACCUUACCAGGUCUUGACAUCCUCUGACAAUCCUAGAGAUAGGACGUCCCCUUCGGGGGCAGAGUGACAGGUGGUGCAUGGUUGUCGUCAGCUCGUGUCGUGAGAUGUUGGGUUAAGUCCCGCAACGAGCGCAACCCUUGAUCUUAGUUGCCAGCAUUCAGUUGGGCACUCUAAGGUGACUGCCGGUGACAAACCGGAGGAAGGUGGGGAUGACGUCAAAUCAUCAUGCCCCUUAUGACCUGGGCUACACACGUGCUACAAUGGACAGAACAAAGGGCAGCGAAACCGCGAGGUUAAGCCAUCCCACAAAUCUGUUCUCAGUUCGGAUCGCAGUCUGCAACUCGACUGCGUGAAGCUGGA